UUUCCUAUUAGUUCACAGCAGAAAGAACGAGACGCUGGCGGCCCUUCUUUCAGACUCCAACACCACUUUGGGACAAGCCUUCUAAACAAAAUGCCUUUGUCUGACAGUCACAAUUCAGUGCUUUUGGGAGCCUGCCUGUUGUUACCACUGCGAUCUGGAAGAACACCAAGCAUAAUCUUUCAAAGAAAAUCAGCGAAAAGAUAAAGCAAAUCAAAGGGCAAACCUCCUAUUGAGUUUCAUUCUUAUGUGAAUGUAACAUCCUUCCCCAUAAGGUUUCAAAAUAAAAUGCUUAUGCAGUUUCUUAAGAAUUGAUGGCUCAGAAAGAUAGAAAAACUGGCUAGGAUGUUCUGUUAUACCAAAAUUUCACCAAAUCCUCAAUGUCAUAAAUAAAUAAAUUCAAAGAGAAGACAAACCGAUGUCCUGUCUUGCUUUCUCCCGCCUUUGGGCAUGAAUUUGCUAUCUGACCACUUGCUCCUACAUACCUGACAAAAGAAACCCAUCAGAAUGACAUUUUGUUUAGCAUUAACACAAAAUCCAAAAUUUUAACAAGAAAUUACAACAUUCUCCUUUUAAAAAUAUGAGUAAGUGCCACAGGGGAAGGGGGGCAGGGAGAGAGACAAUGUCCUCCAGGAUGUUAGAGUGCCCACAGCUUGUCACAUAUUUUUAUUGCUAAGUAUUCAUUCCCACUUCUAUAUAUAUCGAAAAUAAUGGGUAAAUUUCAGAAUCCACAGAACUCCCCAUGUAAUAUGUUUUUAAGGACAAACACUCAGGAAAACUACUGCCAGCCCAUGGCCGGCUUUGGUACAGCUCACAAGCUAAAAAUGGUUGUCACAUUUUUAAAGGGUUGUAAAAGAGUAUGCAUCAGAGACUGUAUGUCUGCAAAGCAUGUUAUUUACCAUCUUGCCCUUUACAGAAAAAGUGUGCCACACCCGCAGCAAACUAUUAAAAAGGCUCAAGUAAUAAUUCUUAAUUUUGUUUAAGCCAAAUCAUGAAUGUGGAGCAAAAUUAUGAAUGUGCUUUCAGGCAAUCUCUUCCAGGGGUCAUGGACCAGAGACUCAGGGGAAGGUGGAAUGACCGCCCUGAGAACAGAAGGGUCUACACGGGAAUCUACUCAUUCAAUAACAGAUGGUUAAUGAGACCAUUCUUAAGACUUUAUAAGAAGACAAAUCUUGCAUCCUUUGGGAAAGAGACCAAUACACUGUUCCGUUUGGAGAAUUUCUAACUUACAAAAUUAGGAAUAACCACUUGCCCUUACAAGGGGGUGUUAGUUGAAUCAAGUGUGUCAAAGGAUAUGACAGAAAGUAUCUAACAGGGGACGGGAGGGAUCUUUACUACUAUCAUGUGUAGUUCUCUGGUCUUCUUGUAGAAUACACAAAAGGAAAUACUGGCCGAAAAAAAGCCAAAGCAAGGCAGAAGGCUUUAUAAAAUUCUUACUUUUUCUUUCUACAUGCACAAAUACAACCUCAUACAGACCAGUCUGUAUUGCUUAAGACUAAAGAUUUCUGUGUUUUUCAAUGAAUAAAGGAAAGACGCCUUUUUGCAGGGAAUGCUUAGCCCAAAUUUCUAACUUACAAAUAAAGAGUCAUUAAAGAGAGGGAGGAAAAAAAGGGUACCGGGAAAUUCUAGAUGAUGUAACUUCAAGUUCCUGCCUCAUGAUGGCCGACUCAACUCAGUCUGGAAAUCUGGCAUAUGUGAUUUGCCAGCUCAACUGCAGUUGCCUUUUAAGGAGCUCAAAAUUUCAUGCACUCAAGGGUUUAUUUGUGAAGCCAGUCACUUUUUAGGAACUAAUCAUAUAUACAUAAUAUUCUAAGUACAACAUGUAUCCAAGUUAUUACAUCAUGCAAAAAUGCACGAAGUAGAGCUGCCAGAUAAAAGAGCACACCCAGAUAAAGUUGAAUUUCAAAAACACAGCAAAUAACUUUUCAUACCAGCAUAUCCCAAGUACUGCAUGGGACACAAUUACACUAAAAAAAUGCUGUAUAUCUGAAAUUCAACUUUAACUGGGCAUCCCGUAAAUUUAUUUCCUAAAUCUGGUAACCCUGCCAUGAAAACAUGAAGGCUAUUCUGAUAUCCACUAAACAGCUGCCAUCUUGUAACACGCCAUGGUCUGGAGUUGGAGAAAUUGCUAAGGGUGACUCAGACUCUCAUUAAGUCAGCAUUUCGUGCAAAGAAUGGUCUAGAAAGAUAGUUAAUACCCACCAGGAGAUUCCCAUUGCUUUGCUUAGACAACCACAGGGAAAUAAAAGGCCCAUGAUAGGGAAAUCCUCUAGAGCUUACAGUACUGCUACCACUUCUCAUGAGGUCACACUGAACAAAAGAGCCCAGUGGCAGAAGAACACUGCUGGGGAGCUAACUAAAAGGCCCACUCCACCGCACGUACGCACGCAUAUCCCAUGUCCCUAAUAUGUCCAAGUAGUAGUGUUAUUGUUUGUUUGUUGUUAUGGGAGAAAGAAAAGAGGAAAAAAAACCUCACAGACACUCCAGGGUCUGGAGAGCAGCCAGAAGCAGGGUGGAAAAACUCCACCCUGCGCUUCCCCCACUGGGGCUGCAGCUUUCGUGAGAGGGCACCAUGCCAGAACCCAGCCAUUCUGGUAGGUUUCCAAUGGAAGCGCUAACAGAACUUCACCGUAGGAGCCAUUAGAGAGGCUGGCUGGGGCAGGGAGCUCUGAGAAUAUGGCUGGCCAAGUAUUCAAACAGGAAUAAGAUAGUAAGCAUAAAAAUUCUGAACCACUGUUCAAACAAAUCCAUAAAGAAGUUGGUUUCCAUUAACAAGUGUUAUUCAAACUCUAGCUUUCUGCCCACAUAUGUGUACGGCAGAGAUAUUGAAAACAAUUGCCACAAAGAUAGCUCUUUUGUUAAAAAUUAAACAAAAGAAAGGUACUCGGGUGCUGGGUACCCUUUUGAGAAAACGCUUCAAAUUCUCUUUCCCCUCCCAAACAACAAGAUCCAUUUUUACCUAGUUUUCAGGUACAGUUUUAUUUUUCAAGCUAGGUCACUUAUCUGAGGGAAUAUACCAUUGCAUUCAUUUGUUUAAACUACGGCUCAAAUGACAAAAACAAUUACAGAUGCUCCUCCACUUAAGAGGGGGGUUACAUUCUGAUAAACCCAGCAUAAGUUGCAAAUAUCUUGUCAAAAUUGCAUUUAAUACACCUAACCUACCAAACAUCAUAGCUUAGCCUAGCCUGGCUUAAACACACUCAGAACACUUACAUUAGCCUACAGUUGGGUGAACGCAUCUAACAUAAACACUAUUUUAUAAUAAAGUAUUGAAUAACUCAUGUAAUUUAUUGAAUACUGUACUGAAAGUGAAAAACAGAAUGGUUUGCACGGGUACUCAUAUGGUUUUUGCCAAAUGCAUAUCACAUUUGCACCAUUAUAAAGCCAAAAAAUCACAAGUCUAACCAUUGGGGACCUUCUGUAUACAGCAGGUCUUUGAAUAACGUUUCAUUCAACAUCAUUUCAUGAUAACAUUGAUAAGAGAAAACAAAAUUGACUCCUGGCCAAGGCCUCUGUGUGGAGUUUCCCCGUUCUCUUCUCCUCAUGUCUGUGUGGGUUUUCUCUAGGUACUCCAGUUUCCUCUCACAUCUGAAAGAUGUGCACAUUAGGUGCACUGGUGUGUCUAAACUGUCCAGUCUAAGUGAGUGUGGGUAUGUGUUUGAGUGUGCCCUGUGAUGGAAUGACAUCCUGUCCAGGGUGGGUUCCAUCUGUUCCUUGUAAUAUCAGGAUAGGCUCUGGCCCCCGCAACACUGAACUGGAAUAAUGGGUUAGAGAAUGAAUGAAUGAAUGAAUGAAUGAAUGAAUACAAAGUAUUGUAAAACAGAAAUGUGUAAAGUAUAUGGUAACCAUACAAAUGCACGAAACACAAAAGCGCGCAGAGAACCCACCAUAUUUAUUGUUUGUUUGUAAACUGUGUGGUGGCAGGAGAUGUUCCUCACAAUUUUCACUUCGCAAACAUUUAUUCCUUAAUUUAACCUGCCACCACCAUGACUGCUGUCACUCACUCACUGGGUAAAUAAUUGUCUUCCUUGUUUUUAUCAAUCUUUCUUAAAUGUGUGUAUAGCUCACAUUUAUUUCCAUGUUUACCAUUAGAAAUGUUUGGGGUCUUUGUUUAGAAGUUUGGUGAUGUUUUGGGGGCCUAAAAUAUGCCACAGGAAUUUAAUUCUAUUUAUAUCAAUUAGCCUAUGGUAAAAUUAGUUUCAUUAUACAUCAUUUUGCUUAAAAUAGCAGUUUCCAAGAACCUAUUGAUGACAUUAAGAAAGGAUUUAACUGUAUACAUAACAUUUUCCUUGGUAAGUUCAAUAGUGUUUUCAAAAAUAAAAUAUUCUAGCCGGGCGCGGUGGCUCACACCUGU
This 4351-nucleotide long non-coding RNA is filed under the name Homo sapiens (human). Its description in RNAcentral is "HSALNT0064167". Lineage: Eukaryota; Metazoa; Chordata; Mammalia; Primates; Hominidae. The record is from RNAcentral.